UACUCGAGUGGCGAACGGGUGAGUAACACGUGGGUGAUCUGCCCUGCACUCUGGGAUAAGCCUGGGAAACUGGGUCUAAUACCGGAUAGGACCAUGCUUUAGUGUGUGUGGUGGAAAGUUUUUUCGGUGUAGGAUGAGCCCGCGGCCUAUCAGCUUGUUGGUGGGGUAAUGACCUACCAAGGCGGCGACGGGUAGCCGGACUGAGAGGUUGGUCGGCCACAUUGGGACUGAGAUACGGCCCAG
RNAcentral lists this ribosomal RNA (243 nucleotides) under uncultured Actinomycetales bacterium. Its description in RNAcentral is "partial 16S ribosomal RNA". It matches the Rfam family "Bacterial small subunit ribosomal RNA", at positions 88 to 334 of the family's 1533-position model. Lineage: Bacteria; Bacillati; Actinomycetota; Actinomycetes; Actinomycetales. The record is from RNAcentral.